GGUUAUGAUGAAUUACCACACUUCACGACGGUCUACUGUACGGUUUGACUUGUAAUCAACCGUAGUGAUGAAUAACUUGGCCUUGACCGGCCGUGGUUACUGAGU
Molecule: small nucleolar RNA, 105 nt
Filed under: Candidozyma auris
Lineage: Eukaryota; Fungi; Ascomycota; Pichiomycetes; Serinales; Metschnikowiaceae
Description: Candida auris Small nucleolar RNA snR73
Rfam family: Small nucleolar RNA snR73
Source: Rfam by way of RNAcentral